ACAAGUUACAUCAUAAUUUAUGCAUUAUUUCUCAUAAAUCUCAUAAAACCGUCAAGGUUGGGAGGUGGUUGUGUUGGCGGUGGUGGAAAUGAAGCUUGUUCAUCACCACUUCCGGGUGAAGUUGCUUCCUCAGCAAGUUCUGCAAUCAUUUCUUCAUACGCCUCAUCUAUUUCUGGUUAUGAUUCUGCUAUGCCAAAGUUCCUUCUUUCUGCGCGGAUCCAAUCUCGAAAAAGCACU
This 237-nucleotide long non-coding RNA is filed under the name Nicotiana benthamiana. RNAcentral describes it as "long non-coding RNA (NBEN_LNC027693)". Lineage: Eukaryota; Viridiplantae; Streptophyta; Magnoliopsida; Solanales; Solanaceae. The record is from RNAcentral.